This 527-nucleotide ribosomal RNA is filed under the name uncultured bacterium. RNAcentral's name for it is "bacterial SSU rRNA". It matches the Rfam family "Bacterial small subunit ribosomal RNA", at positions 777 to 1302 of the family's 1533-position model. The record is from RNAcentral.
AAUAGAUACCCUGGUAGUCCACGCCGUAAACGAUGAGUGCUAAGUGUUAGAGGGUUUCCGCCCUUUAGUGCUGCAGCUAACGCAUUAAGCACUCCGCCUGGGGAGUACGGUCGCAAGACUGAAACUCAAAGGAAUUGACGGGGGCCCGCACAAGCGGUGGAGCAUGUGGUUUAAUUCGAAGCAACGCGAAGAACCUUACCAGGUCUUGACAUCCUCUGACACUCCUAGAGAUAGGAUUUUCUCCUUCGGGGGACAGAGUGACAGGUGGUGCAUGGUUGUCGUCAGCUCGUGUCGUGAGAUGUUGGGUUAAGUCCCGCAACGAGUGCAACCCUUGAUCUUAGUUGCCAGCAUUUAGUUGGGCACUCUAAGGUGACUGCCGGUGACAAACCGGAGGAAGGUGGGGAUGACGUCAAAUCAUCAUGCCCCUUAUGACCUGGGCUACACACGUGCUACAAUGGAUGGUACAAAGGGCAGCGAAGCCGCGAGGUGGAGCCAAUCCCAUAAAACCAUUCUCAGUUCGGAUUGCG